UAUGAGGCAUAAUGUGAGGCAUGGAAAAGAGGAAGCAAAGGAAGGAAAAGGAGUUGAGGGAUUUAUGUCGCAGGAGAGAUGGCCCAAGCUGGGUUAUAUAUGCAAUGCAAAGGAUCGGCUAGCUAGGGUCAUCUCUUCCUCGACACAAAUCUCUUCAACUUCUAAUUAGAAGGUGCAUGUAUCAAAAUUCACAAAGAUGAUGAUUCAAGUGAGCUGGAAAAUAGAAAUGAGGUUAUAGUGGAGCUCCUGUCGCAGGAGAGGUGGCACCUAGUGCAUGAAAAACAGCAAUAGGCACCAUCUCUCCUGGACCGGAUGCCCCACUCCGACCUCUAUACCAUGCACAUUGCGUUGCUUGGAAUAGGUUAUGCACGAGUAUAUAUUGCCAUGUACUAAGGGUGGUAACUAUGGAUGGCAUGCUUAUGAGGGCCAUGCAUUUCUUUUCAAAACCCCCCAACUUCUCUUGGGGUACGUCUAUGACCUCCACGACCCAAUAUUCCCUACAUUAAUGGUGCUGGUAAGAUCUCCAUUAAUCACAAGAAGCUACUUUCACCAGAAUCCCUAUAUCGAUUCAGGCAUGUAGAGCUAGAGACCUCAAGUCAGUGUAUCAACGCUCAAGAAGAACGAAGAAAUACAAUCGUUUUUGGAGAUGUUAAUUUCAAAAACAAAACUGUGCCGUUGCAAUUUAACCAAACUAUGUCGUAUAAAAUGUUUGUUAGUUGGAUUUCCCUCUUAUUGUCUGUUAGCAACUCUGUUAGUAUAUAAUGUAAAACAGAGGCUAACAAUCUGAUUCUUGAUUUGUAAAAUUCAAAUUUUCAAUAAUAGAAAUUCAGUUUAGAUUC
Long non-coding RNA from Quercus robur (English oak), 839 nucleotides. RefSeq lists it as uncharacterized. The transcript has 2 exons. Lineage: Eukaryota; Viridiplantae; Streptophyta; Magnoliopsida; Fagales; Fagaceae. The record is from RefSeq and is a predicted model, not a curated record.